This 77-nucleotide transfer RNA is filed under the name Burkholderiales bacterium. RNAcentral describes it as "tRNA-Gln". It matches the Rfam family "tRNA". From Rfam's summary of the family: Transfer RNA (tRNA) molecules are approximately 80 nucleotides in length. Their secondary structure includes four short double-helical elements and three loops (D, anti-codon, and T loops). Further hydrogen bonds mediate the characteristic L-shaped molecular structure. tRNAs have two regions of fundamental functional importance: the anti-codon, which is responsible for specific mRNA codon recognition, and the 3' end, to which the tRNAs corresponding amino acid is attached (by aminoacyl-tRNA synthetases). tRNAs cope with the degeneracy of the genetic code in two manners: having more than one tRNA (with a specific anti-codon) for a particular amino acid; and 'wobble' base-pairing, i.e. permitting non-standard base-pairing at the 3rd anti-codon position. Lineage: Bacteria; Pseudomonadati; Pseudomonadota; Betaproteobacteria; Burkholderiales. RNAcentral also lists the same sequence under 1 other name. The record is from RNAcentral.
AGGGGUGUCGCCAAGCGGCCGAAGGCACUGGCCUUUGAAGCCAGUCAUCGUGAGUUCGAAUCUCACCACCCUUGCCA